UACGUAGGGUGCAAGCGUUAAUCGGAAUUACUGGGCGUAAAGCGUGCGCAGGCGGUUUUGUAAGUCUGUCGUGAAAGCCCCGGGCUCAACCUGGGAAUUGCGAUGGAGACUGCAAGGCUUGAAUCUGGCAGAGGGGGGUAGAAUUCCACGUGUAGCAGUGAAAUGCGUAGAGAUGUGGAGGAACACCGAUGGCGAAGGCAGCCCCCUGGGUCAAGAUUGACGCUCAUGCACGAAAGCGUGGGUAGCAAACAGU
Molecule: ribosomal RNA, 253 nt
Filed under: uncultured bacterium
Lineage: Bacteria
Description: partial 16S ribosomal RNA
Rfam family: Bacterial small subunit ribosomal RNA
Source: RNAcentral